RNAcentral lists this long non-coding RNA (1059 nucleotides) under Anas platyrhynchos platyrhynchos (common mallard). Its description in RNAcentral is "lncRNA (ENSAPLG00000020088.1)". Lineage: Eukaryota; Metazoa; Chordata; Aves; Anseriformes; Anatidae. The record is from RNAcentral.
GAAAAAGGGAACAUGAUGUGAGCACUGAAAAGAGAAGCAUACAAAAAAUGUGAACUGCUGAAUUUACUGUCUAGCUAUAAUGAGGUAUUGCUUAACAAUUAAGUUAAAUUAUGCAGCUGUUUCCUCGUAUAUUGUGCUAAUGCAUCUGAGAAAUUAUAAUUUUCUGAUUGGAGAAUGUUAUGUGGAGGAAACUGUAGCAUUCCCCAUUCCUGCAACAAUUCAUUUCAUGAUUAAAAAAGGAAGCCAGUAUUUUUGCAGCUGGCAGGAAUAGGCAAUAAAAGAUGACAAUCCAAGGAGGCCUGUUAGUCACUGACACAAUAAAACAAUCCCCAACAAAAGCUGCAAAAGGAAAAAAAAAAAAAAAAAAAAAAAAAAAAAAAAAAAAACAUGAAAGGGCACCAACGACACACAGCCGCAGCUCAUCGGUUUCUGUGGAGAGGUGACUAUAUAGCCCUCUAGUAGCAAAAGCAGCUUUGAGUGUUUCAAAGCCAAGUGGUUGGAAAAUGUGAAGGGAACAAUUCAAUUGAUGCUUUAAAGCAAGUUUCCUGUACAACAGGGAAACAGGCAUGCACAUCAGCUUUUUUUUUUUUUUUUUUAAAAAAAAAAAAAGAGAGGAAAAAAAAAGAAGAAAUACAACUUCAGAGAGUAAAGUCACCUGAAGGAAUAAUGUGACACACCCUUACAGCGCUCAACAUCCAACCAUCUGUGGGCUAUCCACGUGAAACUGGUGGGAAGAUUUUCAGCAGCCCUGGGAUGUUAUUAUCAGACUAGCUAGACUGCCACAGCAUGGAAGGAAUAGAGGUCAAGAGCAAUGAGGAAUUGAUUCCUCCACCCCUCGUUACCACCAGUCCUUCGAAGUCAGAUAUUGCCAAUCUAUGUCAAACUGGCUGGAGGCUUUUAGAGGCACACAAUGAUCACAACACAGCUGCCACAGAUUUCGUCAAUGCAAACAGAGUGUAUAAGGAUUUUUGUUGUACGAUAAAUAGUUUAACUAUCACAGACAGUGCAGUGCACAAAUAAAUAAAUAAAUGAGGUGACAAUCUAGAUGGUCUUAGAUAA